RNAcentral lists this ribosomal RNA (497 nucleotides) under uncultured bacterium. Its description in RNAcentral is "partial 16S ribosomal RNA". It matches the Rfam family "Bacterial small subunit ribosomal RNA", at positions 28 to 507 of the family's 1533-position model. The record is from RNAcentral.
GAUGAACGCUGGCGGCGUGCCUAAUACAUGCAAGUCGAGCGAACGGACGAGAAGCUUGCUUCUCUGAUGUUAGCGGCGGACGGGUGAGUAACACGUGGAUAACCUACCUAUAAGACUGGGAUAACUUCGGGAAACCGGAGCUAAUACCGGAUAAUAUUUUGAACCGCAUGGUUCAAAAGUGAAAGACGGUCUUGCUGUCACUAAUAGAUGGAUCCGCGCUGCAUUGGCUAGUUGGUAAGGUAACGGCGUACCAAGGCAACGAUGCAUAGCCGACCUGCGAGGGUGGUCGGCCACACUGGAACUGAGACACGGUCCAGACGCCUACGGGAGGCAGCAGUAGGGAAUCUUCCGCAAUGGGCGAAAGCCUGACGGAGCAACGCCGAGUGAGUGAUGAAGGUCUUCGGAUCGUAAAACUCUGUUAUUAGGGAAGAACAUAUGUGUAAGUAACUGUGCACAUCUUGACGGUACCUAAGCAGAAAGCCACGGCUAACUACGUG